CUCAACCUGUGAGCGUCGCAGCAUUUAGCUCGCGAUACGAGUGUGUGAGGGUCUCAGACACUAACAAACUUGUCAUUUCUCCGUUUCUUUUAGUGAACAAAACAUUCAGGAAGCAGCUUUUCUCUUGUUGAGUCUGUACCGACCGCCAUGUGUCAGCGGCAAUCCACAGAUACUGGGAGUCAGCUAGCAGGUGGAGCUGGGAGGUUUGGGCCCUUCUGGGAGUCUCUCUCUCUCUCUCUCUCUCUCUCAGCCUUCUUCUUUUGUUUGGUUUGUUGCACCAUCCAACACUCUUUACACCACAUUUUCACUCAUCCAUGCAUUACUAACACAACUGAUGUUUCUCCGACUCACACGCCCCACCGGUUAGUUGAGAUAUUAUUUCUUUGAGUUAAAUAAAUUACUUUUUGACUGAUA
Long non-coding RNA from Thunnus maccoyii (southern bluefin tuna), 414 nucleotides. RefSeq lists it as uncharacterized. The record is from RefSeq and is a predicted model, not a curated record. The transcript is spliced from 2 exons. Lineage: Eukaryota; Metazoa; Chordata; Actinopteri; Scombriformes; Scombridae.